This 388-nucleotide ribosomal RNA is filed under the name uncultured Arcobacter sp. RNAcentral describes it as "bacterial SSU rRNA". It matches the Rfam family "Bacterial small subunit ribosomal RNA", at positions 997 to 1382 of the family's 1533-position model. Lineage: Bacteria; Pseudomonadati; Campylobacterota; Epsilonproteobacteria; Campylobacterales; Arcobacteraceae. The record is from RNAcentral.
CUGGUAGAGAUACUGGAGUGCUAGCUUGCUAGAACUUGAAAACAAGGUGCUGCACGGCUGUCGUCAGCUCGUGUCGUGAGAUGUUGGGUUAAGUCCCGCAACGAGCGCAACCUCGUCGUUAGUUGCUAACAGUUAGGCUGAGAACUCUAACGAGACUGCCUUCGUAAGGAGGAGGAAGGUGAGGACGACGUCAAGUCAUCAUGGCCCUUACGGCCAGGGCUACACACGUGCUACAAUGGGGUGUACAGAAAGCUGCAAUAUCGCGAGAUGGAGCAAAUCUCAAAAACACCUCCCAGUUCGGAUUGUUCUCUGCAACUCGAGAACAUGAAGUUGGAAUCGCUAGUAAUCGUAGAUCAGCAUUGCUACGGUGAAUACGUUCCCGGGUCUU